This is a long non-coding RNA of Oreochromis aureus, 427 nucleotides long. RefSeq lists it as uncharacterized. The transcript is spliced from 3 exons. Lineage: Eukaryota; Metazoa; Chordata; Actinopteri; Cichliformes; Cichlidae. The record is from RefSeq and is a predicted model, not a curated record.
CUCUGAGUUAUCAUUCUGGAGAAAGACAGCAAGCCAGAGGACAGUGGGGAGGUUUAUUCAAACACUUUGGAUAUUUAACAAUCAUCUCUGCAAAGACUGGAAGCACUGAAGACCAUGGCACGUCUGAUUCAUCUAUCAUUACUGCUAGCAGUGAGCCAGCUGCCCUGUGUUUCAGCCAUACGAGACUUUCCAGAUGGAGGAAUCAAAUUUACUCCCUAUCAUCUGUGCCCUGUUGGAGGGAAUAUUACACACGACUGCAAUUGCACAGCUGGCAAGUGGAUAUGGAAAUUUAAAUGUUGUGGGCCCACUGUUAACCAAGUCACACUGGAAGCAACUGCCACAGCCAAUUACACUGAGACAGAGGACUGUACUAAUAAAUGCCGUAAAAUCACAUACAAAACAAAAAUGUUUGUUUUGUCUGUGGAGG